Molecule: ribosomal RNA, 468 nt
Filed under: uncultured bacterium
Lineage: Bacteria
Description: partial 16S ribosomal RNA
Rfam family: Bacterial small subunit ribosomal RNA
Source: RNAcentral
GACGAACGCUGGCGGCGUGCUUAACACAUGCGAGUCGAACGGAAAGGCCCUGCUUUUGUGGGGUGCUCGAGUGGCGAACGGGUGAGUAACACGUGAGUAACCUGCCCUUGACUUUGGGAUAACUUCAGGAAACUGGGGCUAAUACCGGAUAGGAGCUCCUGCUGCAUGGUGGGGGUUGGAAAGUUUCGGCGGUUGGGGAUGGACUCGCGGCUUAUCAGCUUGUUGGUGGGGUAGUGGCUUACCAAGGCUUUGACGGGUAGCCGGCCUGAGAGGGUGACCGGCCACAGUGGGCAUGAGGUACGGGCCAGACUCCUACGGGAGGCAGCAGUGGGGAAUAGUGCCCAAUGGGCGGAAGCCUGAUGCAGCAACGCAGCGUGCGGGGUGACGGCCUUCGGGUUGUAAACCGCUUUCGCCUGUGACGAAGCGUCAGUGACGGUAAUGGGUCAAGAAGCCCCGGCUAACUACGUG